This 254-nucleotide ribosomal RNA is filed under the name uncultured bacterium. RNAcentral describes it as "partial 16S ribosomal RNA". It matches the Rfam family "Bacterial small subunit ribosomal RNA", at positions 524 to 776 of the family's 1533-position model. The record is from RNAcentral.
GACGAACCGUGCGAACGUUAUUCGGAAUCACUGGGCUUAAAGCGCGUGUAGGCGGGUGGGUACGUCGGCCGUUGAAAUCCCCCGGCUCAACCGGGGAAGCGGCGCCGAUACGGCCUUCCUGGAGGAACGUAGGGGGACCUGGAACUUCCGGUGGAGCGGUGAAAUGCGUUGAGAUCGGUAGGAACGCCCGUGGCGAAAGCGAGGUCCUGGACGUUUUCUGACGCUGAGACGCGAAAGCCAGGGGAGCAAACGGG